UACGGAGGGGGCUAGCGUUGUUCGGAAUUACUGGGCGUAAAGCGCACGUAGGCGGCUUUGCAAGUCAGAGGUGAAAGCCCGGGGCUCAACCCCGGAAUUGCCUUUGAGACUGCAUCGCUAGAAUUGUGGAGAGGUAAGUGGAAUUCCGAGUGUAGAGGUGAAAUUCGUAGAUAUUCGGAAGAACACCAGUGGCGAAGGCGACUUACUGGACACAUAUUGACGCUGAGGUGCGAAAGUGUGGGGAGCGAACAGG
This 253-nucleotide ribosomal RNA is filed under the name uncultured bacterium. Its description in RNAcentral is "partial 16S ribosomal RNA". It matches the Rfam family "Bacterial small subunit ribosomal RNA", at positions 524 to 776 of the family's 1533-position model. The record is from RNAcentral.